CCUACGGGGCGCAGCAGUAGGGAAUAUUGCUCAAUGGGGGAAACCCUGAAGCAGCAACGCCGCGUGGAGGAUGAAGGUUUUCGGAUUGUAAACUCCUUUUGUUAGAGAAGAUAAUGACGGUAUCUAACGAAUAAGCACCGGCUAACUCCGUGCCAGCAGCCGCGGUAAUACGGAGGGUGCAAGCGUUACUCGGAAUCACUGGGCGUAAAGAGGGCGUAGGCGGGAUAGCAAGUCAGAUGUGAAAUCCUAUGGCUUAACCAUAGAACUGCAUUUGAAACUGUUAUUCUAGAGUAUGGGAGAGGUAGGUGGAAUUCUUGGUGUAGGGGUAAAAUCCGUAGAGAUCAAGAGGAAUACUCAUUGCGAAGGCGACCUGCUAGAACAUAACUGACGCUGAGGCGCGAAAGCGUGGGGAGCAAACAGGAUUAGAUACCCGAGUAGUC
RNAcentral lists this ribosomal RNA (440 nucleotides) under uncultured bacterium. RNAcentral describes it as "partial 16S ribosomal RNA". It matches the Rfam family "Bacterial small subunit ribosomal RNA", at positions 338 to 795 of the family's 1533-position model. The record is from RNAcentral.